CCUACGGGGGGCAGCAGUGGGGAAUUUUGGACAAUGGGCAAAAGCCUGAUCCAGCAAUGCCGCGUGUGUGAAGAAGGUCUUCGGAUUGUAAAGCACUUUCGACGGGGACGAUGAUGACGGUACCCGUAGAAGAAGCCCCGGCUAACUUCGUGCCAGCAGCCGCGGUAAUACGAAGGGGGCUAGCGUUGCUCGGAAUGACUGGGCGUAAAGGGCGCGUAGGCGGUUCAUGCAGUCAGAUGUGAAAUCCCCGGGCUUAACCUGGGAACUGCAUUUGAGACGCAUAGACUAGAGGUCGAGAGAGGGUUGUGGAAUUCCCAGUGUAGAGGUGAAAUUCGUAGAUAUUCGGAGGAACACCAGUGGCGAAGGCGGCUACUGGUCUGCAACUGACGCCGAGGCGCGAAAGCGUGGGGAGCAAACAGGAUUAGAUACCCGAGUAGUC
This 439-nucleotide ribosomal RNA is filed under the name uncultured bacterium. Its description in RNAcentral is "bacterial SSU rRNA". It matches the Rfam family "Bacterial small subunit ribosomal RNA", at positions 338 to 795 of the family's 1533-position model. The record is from RNAcentral.